AGUGAACGCUGGCGGUAGGCCUAACACAUGCAAGUCGAACGGCAGCACAGGAGAGCUUGCUCUCUGGGUGGCGAGUGGCGGACGGGUGAGGAAUACAUCGGAAUCUACUCUGUCGUGGGGGAUAACGUAGGGAAACUUACGCUAAUACCGCAUACGACCUACGGGUGAAAGCAGGGGAUCUUCGGACCUUGCGCGAUUGAAUGAGCCGAUGUCGGAUUAGCUAGUUGGCGGGGUAAAGGCCCACCAAGGCGACGAUCCGUAGCUGGUCUGAGAGGAUGAUCAGCCACACUGGAACUGAGACACGGCCCAGACUCCUACGGGAGGCAGCAGUGGGGAAUAUUGGACAAUGGGCGCAAGCCUGAUCCAGCCAUACCGCGUGGGUGAAGAAGGCCUUGGGGUUGUAAAGCCCUUUUGUUGGGAAAGAAAUCCAGCUGGCUAAUACCCGGUUGGGAUGACGGUACCCAAAGAAUAAGCACCGGCUAACUUCGUGCCAGCCGCCGCCGUAA
This 506-nucleotide ribosomal RNA is filed under the name uncultured bacterium. Its description in RNAcentral is "partial 16S ribosomal RNA". It matches the Rfam family "Bacterial small subunit ribosomal RNA", at positions 29 to 523 of the family's 1533-position model. The record is from RNAcentral.